AUCCAGCUGACGAGUCCAAAUUAGGGCGAGAUGCUCAUCCUGGAC
RNAcentral lists this non-coding RNA (45 nucleotides) under Trichobilharzia regenti. The record is from RNAcentral. Lineage: Eukaryota; Metazoa; Platyhelminthes; Trematoda; Strigeidida; Schistosomatidae.